GACGAACGCUGGCGGCGUGCUUAACACAUGCAAGUCGAACGGUAAGGCCCCUUCGGGGGUACACGAGUGGCGAACGGGUGAGUAACACGUGAGCAACCUGCCCUUGACUCUGGAAUAACAGUUGGAAACAGCUGCUAAUACUGGAUAUUCAUCGUCUCCUUCCUGGGGGGUGGUGGAAAGCUCCGGCGGUCCGGGAUGGGCUCGCGGCCUAUCAGCUUGUUGGUGAGGUAAUGGCUCACCAAGGCUUCGACGGGUAGCCGGCCUGAGAGGGCGACCGGCCACACUGGGACUGAGAUACGGCCCAGACUCCUACGGGAGGCAGCAGUGGGGAAUAUUGCACAAUGGGCGCAAGCCUGAUGCAGCAACGCCGCGUGCGGGAUGACGGCCUUCGGGUUGUAAACCGCUUUCAGUAGGGACGAAGGGUGACUGACGGUACCUACAGAAGAAGGACCGGCUAACUACGUG
RNAcentral lists this ribosomal RNA (465 nucleotides) under uncultured bacterium. RNAcentral describes it as "partial 16S ribosomal RNA". It matches the Rfam family "Bacterial small subunit ribosomal RNA", at positions 28 to 507 of the family's 1533-position model. The record is from RNAcentral.